UACAGAUUGAACGCUGGCGCAGGCCUAACACAUGCAAGUCGAGCGGUAGAGAGGUGCUUGCAUCUCUUGAGAGCGGCGGACGGGUGAGUAUGCCUAGGAAUCUGCCUAGUGGUGGGGGAUAACGUUCGGAAACGGACGCUAAUACCGCAUACGUCCUACGGGAGAAAGCGGGGGGAUCUUCGGACCUCGCGCCAUUAGAUGAGCCUAGGUCGGAUUAGCUAGUUGGUGAGGUAAUGGCUCACCAAGGCGACGAUCCGUAACUGGUCUGAGAGGAUGAUCAGGUCACACUGGAACUGAGACACGGUCCAGACUCCUACGGGAGGCAGCAGUGGGGAAUAUUGGACAAUGGGCGAAAGCCUGAUCCAGCCAUGCCGCGUGUGUGAAGAAGGUCUUCGGAUUGUAAAGCACUUUAAGUUGGGAGGAAGGGUAGUAACCUAAUACGUUGCUACUUUGACGUUACCGACAGAAUAAGCACCGGCUAACUUCGUG
Molecule: ribosomal RNA, 489 nt
Filed under: uncultured bacterium
Lineage: Bacteria
Description: bacterial SSU rRNA
Rfam family: Bacterial small subunit ribosomal RNA
Source: RNAcentral